CCUACGGGAGGCUGCAGUGGGGAAUAUUGCACAAUGGGGGAAACCCUGAUGCAGCGACGCCGCGUGAGUGAUGAAGUAUAUAGGUAUGUAAAGCUCUAUCAGCAGGGAAGAUAAUGACGGUACCUGACUAAGAAGAUUCGGGUAAAUACGUGCCAGCAGCGGUGGUAAUACGGAUGGAGCAAGCGUUAUCCGGAUUUACUGGGUGUAAAGGGGGCGCAAACGGCAGGGCAAGUCUGAUGUGAAAGCCCGGGGGUCAACCCCGGGACUGCAUGUGAAACUGUCCGGCUAGAGUGCAGGAGAGGUAAGUGGAAUUCCUAGUGUAGCGGUGAAAUGCGUAGAUAUUAGGAGGAACACCAGUGGCGAAGGCGGCUUACUGGACUGUAACUGACGUUGAGGCUCGAAAGCGUGGGGAGCAAACAGGAUUAGAUACCCGGGUAGUC
This 440-nucleotide ribosomal RNA is filed under the name uncultured bacterium. RNAcentral's name for it is "partial 16S ribosomal RNA". It matches the Rfam family "Bacterial small subunit ribosomal RNA", at positions 338 to 795 of the family's 1533-position model. The record is from RNAcentral.